GUUGUUUUCUGUUUGAAGAAUGAUGAUGAUGGGAAGAGAUGGGGUCUUAGUCCUUGUGGUUCCAUUCUUUUUGGGUAAUCUUUUCUCUUUUU
This is a non-coding RNA of Caenorhabditis elegans, 92 nucleotides long. The record is from Ensembl. NCBI's taxonomy places the organism in Eukaryota, Metazoa, Nematoda, Chromadorea, Rhabditida, Rhabditidae.